Long non-coding RNA from Micropterus dolomieu (smallmouth bass), 666 nucleotides. RefSeq lists it as uncharacterized. The transcript is spliced from 3 exons. NCBI's taxonomy places the organism in Eukaryota, Metazoa, Chordata, Actinopteri, Centrarchiformes, Centrarchidae. The record is from RefSeq and is a predicted model, not a curated record.
UGCGCCUCGUGUUCUCAAACCUGCAAAGUGAUUUCUGUCUGUCUGUCUAAGGCAAUUAAAAACUUCCUCAACUGCUGAUGAGGAGUGUGAUGCAGAUGAAAGCUCCAGAACAAACAACUUGACAUUUGGUACGGUGAAGAUAGAAGACACUGCAGGGGGAGAAGACGCAAGCGGAUUAGAAGUAUGUAGGCUGACAGGAAGAAGAACAUUUCCAACCAAAACUGCCAUGUGGACACACAGUCAGGCUGAGCUGCCAACCGACCGGCCACCACACAAGCUAGCCAGCCACCCAGCGAGCAAGUCCACCUCUCACACUGCCAGCCUAAUCCUACUAGCCAACCACCCAACUGUCUUCAAAUUCAGCCUCCAGCCUGCCAGCGAGCCAACAGUGGGUCCAGUCAGCCAGUUAAGUUCCAGGGUUGGCCUGAACUGGCCACAGCUUCCUGGGUGCCAGAGGUGAAGGCCGGAGUACCCAGAAAUAGAAGGAGGGGAAGUGAAAGGAAGAUAGAAUGAUAAGAUGAUAGGCACUAUUCAGAUUUUGGGUACAUUUUAGUAACAGUUAUGGCAAUUGUGUAAACCAUACCAUUGUAUUACUGUUAUCUUCUAGAAGGAUUUAACAGGAUGUGGUUCUAUUUAUCAUAUAUGUUACCACAACUGCAGAGGUAA